UACGAGGGGGGCAAAUGUUGUUCGGAAUCACUGGGCGUAAAGGGCGCGUAGGCGGCGUGUCAAGUCAGGCGUGAAAGCCCCGGGCUCAACCUGGGAACCGCGCUUGAGACUGGCAUGCUCGAGUUCGGGAGAGGAUGGUGGAAUUCCCAGUGUAGAGGUGAAAUUCGUAGAUAUUGGGAAGAACACCGAUGGCGAAGGCAGCCAUCUGGACCGACACUGACGCUGAGGCGCGAAAGCGUGGGGAGCAAACAGG
This 253-nucleotide ribosomal RNA is filed under the name uncultured bacterium. RNAcentral's name for it is "partial 16S ribosomal RNA". It matches the Rfam family "Bacterial small subunit ribosomal RNA", at positions 524 to 776 of the family's 1533-position model. The record is from RNAcentral.